Carya illinoinensis is the source of this 914-nucleotide long non-coding RNA. RefSeq lists it as uncharacterized. NCBI's taxonomy places the organism in Eukaryota, Viridiplantae, Streptophyta, Magnoliopsida, Fagales, Juglandaceae. The record is from RefSeq and is a predicted model, not a curated record. The transcript is spliced from 5 exons.
CAAUCUUAUAUGCUAAAAUCUUUCACAGAAAAAAGGCCUCAGUCUUGCUCAAACACGAUCCACGACUAAUAACUAGCAGACUUAACAAAAGAAAGUAAACAGACUAACGGCCCAGAUACCCUGCGGCCCAAAUAAAUCAAGUUCUGUUAGACUUGGCCCAAGCCUGGCCCAACCAUUCCAUUUGUGGACCGUGACAUGUGCAUUCUCUUUCUCUCUGUAUUUUGCACUUCACUCACCCUCACAGAUUUUCCAUUCACACACACUCGUACACAAGAAACUCACAAGCUUUCUUACAGACUUGUGUCGUGCCAUCACAGCGUUCAACGUCGUUGCGAGUGGACUCUCUUCUCGCCGAUUUUCUUUCCCCAUUGCAAGCCGUGCGACACCACUAAAUUUUGAGGUUCUUUGGUCCUGCUAUUUUGUCCUACAGUGAUUAUUUUUCCUCUCCCACUGCAGAAAAAUCACCGCUGUUUGGAACUACAAAAAUUCCCUCACCGACGUAAGUCAUAGCUAGCUAACGCCCAAACAGUGUUGUUUUCGCUCUUUAAUUUUCACGAGCCACGCACCCGAACUUAGGUUGUGACAUUGAUAGAGCUCAGGUCCAAAGCUUAAGUAACUCUCUGCAAGAGUUAGGUAAGCAGGGUUCAAUUACUAGUUUUGCACAAAAAAAAAAAAAAAUGAAUGAGGUUGAUUUUUGGAAAAAUAUGCAUGUUUUUGUGUUAUGAAAAUAUAUUUGAAAACGACCUCAGAUGUGUUAUGCAUAUUCAUGAAAUAUGUAAUGAGAAAGAAUUUUCUAUCAUGACUGGUGUAAACAUGAGCUAAUUUUGUAUAUUCUAUUUUCUGAACUGAGAAAGAGCAAAUAUGAGAUUUUAAAAUUUUUGUUUUGAUUAAAUAAAGAUGCUCUGAUUCUGUUA